RNAcentral lists this ribosomal RNA (407 nucleotides) under uncultured bacterium. Its description in RNAcentral is "bacterial SSU rRNA". It matches the Rfam family "Bacterial small subunit ribosomal RNA", at positions 355 to 774 of the family's 1533-position model. The record is from RNAcentral.
UGGGGAAUAUUGCACAAUGGGCGCAAGCCUGAUGCAGCAACGCCGCGUGAGGGACGACGGCCUUCGGGUUGUAAACCUCUUUUGGCAGGGAAGAAGCGAAAGUGACGGUACCUGCAGAAAAAGCACCGGCUAACUACGUGCCAGCAGCCGCGGUGAUACGUAGGGUGCAAGCGUUGUCCGGAAUUAUUGGGCGUAAAGAGCUCGUAGGCGGUUUGUCGCGUCUGCUGUGAAAACCCGAGGCUCAACCUCGGGCCUGCAGUGGGUACGGGCAAACUAGAGUGCGGUAGGGGAGAUGAGAAUUCCUGGUGUAGCGGUGGAAUGCGCAGAUAUCAGGAGGAACACCGAUGGCGAAGGCAGAUCUCUGGGCCGUAACUGACGCUGAGGAGCGAAAGCAUGGGGAGCGAACA